This 775-nucleotide ribosomal RNA is filed under the name uncultured Neocallimastigales. RNAcentral's name for it is "partial large subunit ribosomal RNA". It matches the Rfam family "Eukaryotic large subunit ribosomal RNA", at positions 22 to 635 of the family's 3401-position model. Lineage: Eukaryota; Fungi; Neocallimastigomycota; Neocallimastigomycetes; Neocallimastigales. The record is from RNAcentral.
GUACACGCUGUGACUAGCAUAUCAAUAAGCGGAGGAAAAGAAACUAACAAGGAUUCCCCUAGUAACGGCGAGUGAAGCGGGAAGAGCUCAAAUUUGAAAUCUUAAAGGGUUUCCCUUUACGAAUUGUAGUUUAAAGAAGUGUUUUCUGUUGAGGUUUUGGUAAAAGUUCUUUGGAAUAGGACAUCAUAGAGGGUGAGAAUCCCGUAUUUGACCUUUACUUUCAACUUUGUGAUACACUUUCAAAGAGUCGGAUUGUUUUGGGAAUGCAGUCCAAAAUGGGUGGUAAAUUUCAUCUAAAGCUAAAUAUUGGCGAGAGACCGAUAGCGAACAAGUACCGUGAGGGAAAGAUGAAAAGAACUUUGAAAAGAGAGUUAAACAGUACGUGAAAUUGUCAAAAGGGAAGCGUUUGACACCAGUGUUGUUUUUCUGAAAAUCAAUUAAAGAACUGUUUAUGCUAAGUUGUUUAGACUUUAUCAGCUAACUGUUUAGUUUUGAGCUUUUCUUUAAUGCACUUUUCAGUUAACAAGUCAACAUCAAUUUCUUUUGCUGUAAAAAAGCUUGAGGAAGGUGGCUUGAGAUUCGUCUUAAGUGUUUAUAGCCUCUUGCCUAUGCAGUCGGAGAGAUUGAGGUCUGCAGCGUAGAUCCUUCGGGGCUAAAUGCAUUUGUGCUAAGUUAUAGCAUUUUAUAGACAACUUGUUGACUAUGAUUUGUCUUGUAGCUUACUCGCUUAUGUUAUUUUACCUACGCUUAGGAUGUUGAAGAUGUAGCACAUCAU